ACAAUUUCAUCUUUAUAGACCAAAAGAAAUAGGCACUAUGUCCAUAUAUUAGACAUGAAAAGAUACAAUCAACACUAAAUAUAUCAGACAGGGAAACAAUAUUAUUUCUUUGAUCAUCAUCCCAAAUACACGACAAAGUAGACAUAGCUACAACCAGAUCAAUCAACUGCAAAAUAAUUAGCAAUCAUGACUACGAAAUGGUGCAAUGAGAUGUCCUAAUACAUAAAUAAAAUAUAGAAAAUUCAUAUCUUGAGUUUGGAGUUCUAUAAUCUAUAGAUAUUCUGCAUAGUAACCUUGAAGGAGGAUGAGAAAAGGCAUAGAAAUGAAAAGCUUUCUCUUCAAAAAUGAGGCCGAAACCUCCAUAACUUUGGUAGCACCUAUAAUUUUUUAUCUUGAAUUUACAGGUAAAUUAUCAUUGAGAUUGGAGGCCCUUCUUUCAUGAAUUGUAAGGCUUGUGCCUAUGUAGAAAUGUUGGAUACUCUUGAACAAACCGAGCAAUUUUCAGAAACAGAUCUAUAACUCCUGCCUCACUGGUAAAUGUUUACAUGUUGACCGCCUAGCCAUUUUCCGACCACUCAAGGAUAUCUCUUCAGAUAAGCUCCUGUGCAAUAGAAUCGAAUUAACAACAAUCAUUUUACAUAGCAGCCAUAAGCAUUAGAAAGUAAAAGAAUAGAUGUUCAAAAGUACAUAAGAUAAAUUGUUUAGAGAAUCGCCAACAAAUUCAACAAAUUGCAGCGCAAAUAUAUGAGCUCAAGCUUUAACGAAGUAAAUAGGUCCUCCAUAUUGCACCAGAAGGAAAAUGUAUUAAGAUCGUAUGAACUACAGAAGAAACAUACAAUGGAUCAUCAAAUAUACUCAUAAAUCAGAUCAGGUAAUUCAAGAACUGUAAGAGAUAUCUGCAAAAGAAAAUAUUACAAUAAAUAUUCAACGUUAUAAUUCUCAAGAUUUGAGAGGAAAUACAAUAUAUCAAACUUAAGAACACCGAUGUAAGCCAAAGAUGACAUUAAGAGCGAGGAUUUUUCAAUAUAUAGAUAUAUUAAUCUCCCGUACCACAUUCAACACAAAGAGAACAUUGUUAGCCAAAUUUAAGUAAUAAUAGAUGUGAAUUCAGUGUAUCCAAGGAAAAGUAGACUCAUUUCAACACAAGAAUAGUCAUGAAUAUAACACGACAAUUCCUAAAUAAUGGAUGGAAACUAAGAAAAGGUACAAAACUAUUUCUUGAAUCUCAAUAUUCAUCACUGCCAAACACUAUUUAUGAAUAAAACUAAAAGAGAAAGCUAAGGCCAUCAAUGUUUUAAUUUCUAGAAGGCAAUCAGGUCCUUCUAAGCUACUAAUGAAAAGGACUACAUAUAGGUUCUUGAAGCAAUUUACCCAUCAAAUCAAAUCGAACAAUUUUGUCGAUUUCUUCAUUCAUACAUAGUCCCAAACUCUGUCCCCACUAAUGACAAAGUAAAGUGAAAAUACCUUUGAAAAAGUGAAGAAGUGAAGGAUGGCGAUAACGUAUAAUAACGCUAAAAACGUAAAAACCUACCAUCUUUGAGAAAUUUCUUCACAGUCAGAUCUGGAUUUUCAUGGGAAGUGGUAAAAACCUACGAUCUUUGAGAACCUUCUUUGCAGGUCUAGAUUUUUAUCGGAAGUGGGAAGGUUUCUUGACGCAUAUGCAAUAAAGAGAAACGGUUACAAUAGAAAAAAAGGAGGGCAAGAGAGGAAAGGUGCAGCGUUAAUGGAACCGGCAGUGGUAAGCCAAUAGAAGUAAAGAAGCGACUGUUAGUGGAAAAAAGAGAGAUAAAAAUGAUAAGCACAUUAAGCGGAAAAAAUAGGCAAAAAAUGGGAAAGUGGCAAAAAAAAGAAGAAGAAAUGAGAUAAAUGUAAUUACUGGGAUUGAGA
Molecule: long non-coding RNA, 1887 nt
Filed under: Nicotiana tabacum (common tobacco)
Lineage: Eukaryota; Viridiplantae; Streptophyta; Magnoliopsida; Solanales; Solanaceae
Description: long non-coding RNA (NTAB_LNC012817)
Source: RNAcentral